GUAGGGAAUCUUCGGCAAUGGACGGAAGUCUGACCGAGCAACGCCGCGUGAGUGAAGAAGGUUUUCGGAUCGUAAAGCUCUGUUGUAAGAGAAGAACGAGUGUGAGAGUGGAAAGUUCACACUGUGACGGUAACUUACCAGAAAGGGACGGCUAACUACGUGCCAGCAGCCGCGGUAAUACGUAGGUCCCGAGCGUUAUCCGGAUUUAUUGGGCGUAAAGCGAGCGCAGGCGGUUAGAUAAGUCUGAAGUUAAAGGCUGUGGCUUAACCAUAGUACGCUUUGGAAACUGUUUAACUUGAGUGCAGAAGGGGAGAGUGGAAUUCCAUGUGUAGCGGUGAAAUGCGUAGAUAUAUGGAGGAACACCGGUGGCGAAAGCGGCUCUCUGGUCUGUAACUGACGCUGAGGCUCGAAAGCGUGGGGAGCAAACAGGAUUAGAUACCCUGGUAGUCCACGCCGUAAACGAUGAGUGCUAGGUGUUGGGUCCUUUCCGGGACUCAGUGCCGCAGCUAACGCAUUAAGCACUCCGCCUGGGGAGUACGACCGCAAGGUUG
RNAcentral lists this ribosomal RNA (551 nucleotides) under uncultured bacterium. RNAcentral's name for it is "bacterial SSU rRNA". It matches the Rfam family "Bacterial small subunit ribosomal RNA", at positions 354 to 896 of the family's 1533-position model. The record is from RNAcentral.